ACACAAGUGGACAAACUAUGGGCCGGGCCUGGCUGCAGAUAAGCCCGUGGGCCACAGAGCCGGCAGGCAUGGGCCGUGGGAAACAUAACGGCGGUCGGCGGAAAAAUCAGCUUCCCUCCCCCUUUCGGUAUCGUUUUUUUUUUAACAAACCCAACACAAGUCAACGUCCCCUAAAAAAACAAGUCAACGUUAAAAAAAACCCAACACAAGUCAGAAAAGGAAACACGUACUCCUACUUACGUGUAACAACAAACGGACUCUGGGUCGUCGAAUCGUAGACAAAUAUACUCCGUACUCCGUAUAUCACAUCGGGCUUUCUUCGUAGUACAACAAAGGAGCUGGCCAUCGCCGCCGUGGUCUUCCUUUACUGCACUCUCAUGAUCCACCUGGUGCUCAUCAAGUACUGGCACACAAAGGAGCGCGAUGAACUCGUUGAUAACACCGCAUCCACAGGGCCACAGCUGACGACGAUGCUGAUGCUGGCCGUGACGGGGAUCACGUUGAUCUCCUUGGGAGCGAUGGUGGCCCGACCGUGGUGACUUGGUGCUUACUGCAAUCGCCUCCUUGUUGUCAUCAGGGGGAAUCCUAGCUUUGUUCGCGAUCGGAGAACAUGAAGAUGAGGGACAGAAAUCUAGCGCGAACCACGUGAAAAAUGCCUCGGAUCUUGUAUAGUCGAGUGGGCACGAUCGUUUUAAUUAAUUUUGUUCCUGCGUGCAUGGUGAUUGCCCUUAAUUUGCCCAUUAAAUUUUGAAUUAUCGUGGCUGUUUUGCCGUUACCAAUUGUAAUUGAUUCCCGUGAUUACA
Long non-coding RNA from Brachypodium distachyon (stiff brome), 803 nucleotides. RefSeq lists it as uncharacterized. The record is from RefSeq and is a predicted model, not a curated record. Lineage: Eukaryota; Viridiplantae; Streptophyta; Magnoliopsida; Poales; Poaceae. The transcript is spliced from 2 exons.